Seriola dumerili (greater amberjack) is the source of this 676-nucleotide long non-coding RNA. RefSeq lists it as uncharacterized. NCBI's taxonomy places the organism in Eukaryota, Metazoa, Chordata, Actinopteri, Carangiformes, Carangidae. The transcript is spliced from 3 exons. The record is from RefSeq and is a predicted model, not a curated record.
UUGCUGGACAGGACCAGCUAUAUCACAACAACAUAAAAAGCAUGGUGACAUUAGUGACAUCCUGCCCAAAAGAAGCCCGAGUAUGGGGUUUUCCAUCAGCUCAGGUUGUAAACAGACCACCAAACAUGGUCAGCUUAUACACAUCUGCUCCAUGUGUUUCAUGUGUUCCAGGUUUUCCAUCAGCGAGGAUGCUUAGCUCUGAACAUAUAAAAAUACAAACUAGGACUACACAGGGCAAGUCCUGGUUUUAUAAACUGCGGAAUGAGAAGAUUUGUCUUAUUUCAACAGUUCCAGCAAAACAUAAACAUCAGCAAGAUGAAAUGAAGUGCAUGGUAGCAAUGACUCCAUCAUGUCCACAUUUGACUCAACUUCCUGGUUUCCCCAGCAUUUUGCAAUUGAAUCCAACUGAGAAAGACAAAUUGGCUACUCCAGUUCUGCCUUCUGCUGAAAAGCAUACAACACAGGAAUUACCUCAUGAACAGUCAACUCAGUCAUAUCUCAACGACACAAGAAUUCCUGGUUUUCCCUCUACAUCUGUCAGCAGCUCCAGUACAGAACUUGUGCAUGUGGAGAAAUUCAAAGACGAUGCAAAGCAAAAUGUAGACCUUUCUGUAGAUGAUGGCAAAUCACAAAUAGAGAGAAUAGCAGCAGAGGAGACCCAAACAGCGAAGAAACC